AAGGGAGACCUAAUUCAGGUAAGAGACGAAAAAAAAGUAGUCGCUACCAAGAAUCAAUCCCAAAAGGUCGGAGCGAGGCGAAAUUGGCUUUCAAACUAGGUUCUGGGUUCACACAAGACCUGAAUCAGGAACAAGGGCUAUUAGCUCAGGUGGUUAGAGCGCACCCCUGAUAAGGGUGAGGUCCCUGGUUCGAGUCCAGGAUGGCCCACCUGUACAGGUGGCAAAAAGAAAGAAAAGAAGCGAGGAAUCAGCACCUUAUCUUACUGACAUAGUAAGAGAGAAUGCUGGCUCUGAGUAAAGAGUCCAGAGGAACCUUGAAAACUGCAUAGAGCUAGGUGAAAAAGCCAAAAAAGAAGACCGCAA
RNAcentral lists this transfer RNA (363 nucleotides) under uncultured Microcystis sp. RNAcentral describes it as "partial 16S-23S ribosomal RNA intergenic spacer". The stretch from base 135 to 208 matches the Rfam family "tRNA". Lineage: Bacteria; Bacillati; Cyanobacteriota; Cyanophyceae; Chroococcales; Microcystaceae. The record is from RNAcentral.